This 183-nucleotide small nucleolar RNA is filed under the name Lachancea mirantina. RNAcentral's name for it is "Small nucleolar RNA snR32". It matches the Rfam family "Small nucleolar RNA snR32". Lineage: Eukaryota; Fungi; Ascomycota; Saccharomycetes; Saccharomycetales; Saccharomycetaceae. The record is from Rfam by way of RNAcentral.
AACAUCAUUUUUAUCGCUCACAUUGGCCCAUAAUUUUCAAUUAGAGGAGUAGUUGCCCCGUUGAGGUUCUUCUGGUUUUAGGGUCGGUAAGAAGCGUAGAUAGAAUUUAUAAAGAUCGUUGCUGGGCGCCUGGCGUUGAUCCAUUUGGAUAGGAGACAUUGGGAAUCAGCUGUAUCUACAAAA